Molecule: unclassified non-coding RNA, 300 nt
Filed under: Mucor hiemalis
Lineage: Eukaryota; Fungi; Mucoromycota; Mucoromycetes; Mucorales; Mucoraceae
Description: partial internal transcribed spacer region
Rfam family: Eukaryotic small subunit ribosomal RNA (bases 1-46)
Source: RNAcentral
AAGUCGUAACAAGGUUUCCGUAGGUGAACCUGCGGAAGGAUCAUUAAAUAAUUUAGAUGGCCUUUGCUAGUUUUCUAGCGAAUGGUUCAUUCUUUUUUACUGUGAACUGUUUUAAUUUUUCAGCGUCUGAGGAAUGUCUUUUAGCCAUAGGGAUAGGCUACUAGAAUGUUAACCGAGCUGAAAGUCAGGCUUAGGCCUGGUAUCCUAUUAAUUAUUUACCAAAAGAAUUCAGUAUUAUAAUUGUAACAUAAGCGUAAAAAACUUAUAAAACAACUUUUAACAACGGAUCUCUUGGCUCUC